UACGGGGGGAGCAAGCGUUGUUCGGAUUUACUGGGCGUAAAGGGCGCGUAGGCGGUCGUGACAAGUCACUUGUGAAAUCUCCGGGCUUAACUCGGAACGGUCAAGUGAUACUGUCGGACUAGAGUACAGAAGGGGCAACUGGAAUUCUCGGUGUAGCGGUGAAAUGCGUAGAUAUCGGGAGGAACACCAGAGGCGAAGGCGGCCACCUGGACAGACACUGACGCUGAGACGCGAAAGCGUGGGGAGCAAACAGG
Molecule: ribosomal RNA, 254 nt
Filed under: uncultured bacterium
Lineage: Bacteria
Description: partial 16S ribosomal RNA
Rfam family: Bacterial small subunit ribosomal RNA
Source: RNAcentral